This is a long non-coding RNA of Chinchilla lanigera (long-tailed chinchilla), 377 nucleotides long. RefSeq lists it as uncharacterized. The transcript has 2 exons. The record is from RefSeq and is a predicted model, not a curated record. NCBI's taxonomy places the organism in Eukaryota, Metazoa, Chordata, Mammalia, Rodentia, Chinchillidae.
CUUGCCCUUCCCAGGGACUUUUAAAGCAAAACCACAAGGGCUGACAGGCUCCAGACAUGCAUUCGAGGUGCCUUUGAGAAGCCCCAGGGCAUAGUGGUGACGUUUACACUGGACAGGUCAUCAUGGGCAACCACGCUAAGCUGCAGAACAAGGAACAUGUGAUAGAGGCCCUACAUAGGCCCAAACUGAAGUUCCCUGGCUGCCAGAAGAUCCACAUCUCCAAGAGGAGGGGCUGCACCAAGUUCAAGGCAGACGUUCAUCCCUGACGGCAAGGGGAUGAAAUACAUCCCGAAUCCCGGUCCCCUGGAAAAGUGGCGGGCCUUGCCCUCCUUCCACUAUGCUCCCCCAAUAAACCAAUAAAUUAUCAGUAAAUCUUA